RNAcentral lists this ribosomal RNA (225 nucleotides) under uncultured bacterium. RNAcentral describes it as "partial 16S ribosomal RNA". It matches the Rfam family "Bacterial small subunit ribosomal RNA", at positions 109 to 334 of the family's 1533-position model. The record is from RNAcentral.
CGGAACACGUACGCAACCUUCCUUUAACUGGAGGAUAGCCCCUCGAAAGAGGGAUUAAUACUCCGUAACAUAUAGAUGUGGCAUCACAAUUAUAUUAUAGCUCCGGCGGUUAAAGAUGGGCGUGCGCCUGAUUAGAUAGUUGGUAGGGUAACGGCCUACCAAGUCUGCGAUCAGUAACUGGUGUGAGAGCACGACCAGUCACACGGGCACUGAGACACGGGCCCG